RNAcentral lists this ribosomal RNA (1593 nucleotides) under Clostridiales bacterium VE202-06. Its description in RNAcentral is "bacterial LSU rRNA". It matches the Rfam family "Bacterial large subunit ribosomal RNA", at positions 1224 to 2841 of the family's 2925-position model. Lineage: Bacteria; Bacillati; Bacillota; Clostridia; Eubacteriales. The record is from RNAcentral.
AUUGGUAGAGGAGCAUUGCAUGUGGGAAGAAGCAGUACCGUAAGGAGCUGUGGACUGCAUGGAAGAGAGAAUGCCGGAAUGAGUAGCGAGAACAAGGUGAGAAUCCUUGUGGCCGAAUAUCUAAGGUUUCCAGGGUAAAGCUGAUCUGCCCUGGGUAAGUCGGGGCCUAAGGCGAGGGCGAGAGCCGUAGCCGAUGGACAACAGGUUGAGAUUCCUGUACUGCGAUAUGACAGAACUGUGGGGACACGUGUGGAGAGCACAACCCGGGAAUGGUAUCCCGGGGCAAGCGAGGUAGGAGUCACAUAGGAAAAUCCGUGUGGCAAUCCGAAGACGUGAUGCGGACCGAACUAAAGUAGGGAAGUGUGUGAGCCAUGCGUCAAGAAAAGCCGCUAUUGUUCAUAUCGUACCCGUACCGUAAACCGACACAGGUGGAUGAGGAGAGAAUCCUAAGGCCGACGGAAGAAGCAUUGCCAAGGAACUCGGCAAAAUGACCCCGUAACUUCGGGAGAAGGGGUGCCAGGGAGACCUGGCCGCAGAGAAUAGGCUCAAGCAACUGUUUAGCAAAAACACAGGUCUAUGCGAAACCGAAAGGUGAGGUAUAUGGGCUGACGCCUGCCCGGUGCUGGAAGGUUAAGAGGAGAUGUCAGGAGACGAAGCAUUGAAUUUAAGCCCCAGUAAACGGCGGCCGUAACUAUAACGGUCCUAAGGUAGCGAAAUUCCUUGUCGGGUAAGUUCCGACCCGCACGAAAGGCGUAAUGAUUUGAGCGCUGUCUCGGCAAUGCAUCCGGUGAAAUUGAAGUACCAGUGAAGAUGCUGGUUACCUGCGCCAGGACGGAAAGACCCCAUGGAGCUUUACUCCAGUUUGGUACUGGGGUCCGGUAUUGCAUGUACAGGAUAGGUGGGAGGCUAAGAAGUGGUGACGCCAGUUGCCAUGGAGCCGCUGUUGGGAUACCACCCUUGCAGUAUUGGGCUUCUAACCAGCCGCCGUUAACCGGCGGUGGGACAAUGCCAGGCGGGGAGUUUGACUGGGGCGGUCGCCUCCGAAAGAGUAUCGGAGGCGCCCAAAGGUUCCCUCAGAAUGGUUGGAAACCAUUCGCAGAGUGCAAAGGCAGAAGGGAGCUUGACUGCGACACCGACGGGUGGAGCAGGUACGAAAGUAGGGCUUAGUGAUCCGGUGGUAUUAAGUGGGAAUGCCAUCGCUCAACGGAUAAAAGCUACCCUGGGGAUAACAGGCUUAUCACUCCCAAGAGUUCACAUCGACGGAGUGGUUUGGCACCUCGAUGUCGGCUCAUCGCAUCCUGGGGCUGUAGUAGGUCCCAAGGGUUGGGCUGUUCGCCCAUUAAAGCGGUACGCGAGCUGGGUUCAGAACGUCGUGAGACAGUUCGGUCCCUAUCCGGCGUGGGCGUAGGAUAUUUGAGAGGAGCUGUCCUUAGUACGAGAGGACCGGGAUGGACGGGCCGCUGGUGUACCUGUUGCAGUGCCAACUGCAUGGCAGGGUAGCCAAGCCUGGAAGGGAUAAACGCUGAAGGCAUCUAAGCGUGAAGCCCCCCUCAAGAUGAGAUAUCCCAUUCAUAAAGAAGUAAGACCCCUUGA